GCGAAAGUAGCUCAGUUGGUAGAGUGCAACCUUGCCAAGGUUGAUGUCGCGAGUUCGAGCCUCGUCUUUCGCUCCA
This 76-nucleotide transfer RNA is filed under the name Clostridium sp. RNAcentral's name for it is "tRNA-Gly". It matches the Rfam family "tRNA". From Rfam's summary of the family: Transfer RNA (tRNA) molecules are approximately 80 nucleotides in length. Their secondary structure includes four short double-helical elements and three loops (D, anti-codon, and T loops). RNAcentral also lists the same sequence under 4 other names. Lineage: Bacteria; Bacillati; Bacillota; Clostridia; Eubacteriales; Clostridiaceae. The record is from RNAcentral.